AAGUGGAGCAAUCCAUGAGUAAAGUGGCGACCGGGUGAGUAACACGUGACUAACCUACCUUUUAGUGGGGAAUAACCUCGGGAAACCGGGGCUAAUACCGCAUAAUGUCUUCGGACCAAAGGAGCAAUUCGCUGGAAGAGGGGGUCGCGGCCGAUUAGCUAGUUGGCGGGGUAACGGCCCACCAAGGCAAUGAUCGGUAGCCGGCCUGAGAGGGCGCACGGCCACACUGGAACUGAAACACGGUCCAGACUCCUACGGGAGGCAGCAGUGGGGAAUUUUGCGCAAUGGGGGAAACCCUGACGCAGCAACGCCGCGUGGAGGAUGAAGCCCCUUGGG
This 336-nucleotide ribosomal RNA is filed under the name uncultured bacterium. RNAcentral's name for it is "bacterial SSU rRNA". It matches the Rfam family "Bacterial small subunit ribosomal RNA", at positions 72 to 422 of the family's 1533-position model. The record is from RNAcentral.